RNAcentral lists this long non-coding RNA (224 nucleotides) under Lathyrus oleraceus (garden pea). RNAcentral describes it as "Pisum sativum (pea) long non-coding RNA (PSAT_LNC028907)". Lineage: Eukaryota; Viridiplantae; Streptophyta; Magnoliopsida; Fabales; Fabaceae. The record is from RNAcentral.
CAUUCUAUUUGUUACAAGAUUUUGUGUGUUGCUAACAUAAUUCUUAUUUAAAUAUCUUUGACUUAUUUCUCACAUUCAAAUCACAUACCAUAGUUGUAAGAUUGUCGAUAAAGUUAAUUAAGUCGAUAAAGAAUUAAUUUUAUAUCUCAUAAAAAAUGUUAAUUUUCAUUGACCAUGUAAAAAUCUAUUUAAUGAGUAAUUAAUAAAUGAUUUUAUAUAUUAUC